This 449-nucleotide ribosomal RNA is filed under the name uncultured bacterium. RNAcentral's name for it is "partial 16S ribosomal RNA". It matches the Rfam family "Bacterial small subunit ribosomal RNA", at positions 338 to 795 of the family's 1533-position model. The record is from RNAcentral.
CCUACGGGUGGCUGCAGUGAGGAAUUUUGCGCAAUGGCCGCAAGGCUGACGCAGCAACGCCGCGUGGGUGAUGAAGGCCUUCGGGUCGUAAAGCCCUGUCAGGUGGGAAGAAAGGCUUGGAGAAGCAACGCUUUGAGUUUGACGGUACCACCAGAGGAAGCACCGGCUAACUCCGUGCCAGCAGCCGCGGUAAUACGGAGGGUGCGAGCGUUAUUCGGAAGUACUGGGCGUAAAGCGCGAGUAGGCGGUGAAAGCCCUGGGCUUAACCUGGGAAGUGCAUUGGAAACUGCAGUUCUUGAGUACUGGAGAGGAAGGGGGAAUUCCCGGUGUAGAGGUGAAAUUCGUAGAGAUCGGGAGGAAUACCAGUGGCGUAGGCGCCCUUCUGGACGGUUACUGACGCUGAGACGCGAAAGCGUGGGGAGCAAACAGGAUUAGAUACCCGAGUAGUC